CUGGCUCAGGAUGAACGCUGGCGGCGUGCCUAACACAUGCAAGUCGAACGGAGAUUUAACGCUGAUGAGGCUUCGGCGGAUUCUUGUUAAAUCUUAGUGGCGGACGGGUGAGUAACGCGUGGGCAACCUGCCUCAUACUGGGGGAUAACAGCUGGAAACGACUGUUAAUACCGCAUAA
Molecule: ribosomal RNA, 178 nt
Filed under: Butyrivibrio hungatei DSM 14810
Lineage: Bacteria; Bacillati; Bacillota; Clostridia; Lachnospirales; Lachnospiraceae
Description: 16S rRNA. Bacterial SSU
Rfam family: Bacterial small subunit ribosomal RNA
Source: RNAcentral